AAUCAAAUUACCAGGAUUAUCUGCUCUGUGUAUGCAGUUGUCCCUCCCCUAUCUGCAUGCUAUAUAAAAAUGGUGCCAUAUUGUGACAUCCAAUUGCUGGAAAAGGAACAAUGCUGCCUGCUCAUGUCCUUUUUUCUGUGGACUAUAUGAUAUGGAAACUUCAAAAGAUGCGAAUGUCAUCCAUGAAAAGGAGACGGCGAUAUUGGGUGCAUCCCAUUACAUCAUGCCGAAUGACACGAGGUGUAUAUUCGACCCUUUAUCAAGAACUCCGAAAACACCCUGUCAAAUUUGCAGAAUAUCUCCGUGUAAGUGUCGCAAGCUUUGAUGACCUUUCCCGUUUACGUCGCCGAUUGAGACGGAAGGAUACGAAAUUUCACUCUGCGGUUUCUGGCUAGUGGUGAAAGUUUUUCCAGUCUUCAUUUUCAAUUUCGACUAGGGAAAUCUACAAUAUCUUACAUUGUUAAAGAUACCUGCCGGGCAAUUUGGAAUCUUCUGCGUGAAGAAUUUCUUCCCCAUCCUACUUGCCAACAGUGGAUCAGCAUAGCCGACAAGUUUUAUGAGGUGACACAGUUUCCCAAUUGUAUUGGUGCAGUGGAUGGGAAGCAUGUGAGGCUCUUGAAGCCCCCACGUAGUGGAUCCUCCUUUUUUAACUAUAAAAAGUAUUUUUCUGUGAUCCUAAUGGCAAUUGUUGAUGCAAAUUACAAAUUUGUGGCUGUUGAUAUUGGAGCUUUUGGACGAACAAAUGACUCGCGUGUUUUUAAAAAUUCUAAUAUGGGAAAAAGGCUGUACUCCGGAAACUUUGGUAUACCAGAGCCCAGGCCUUUACCAGGUACUACAAACCCUGCACUUCCAUUUGUUCUAGUCAGAGAUGAAGCUUUCCAAAUGUGUGGAAAUUUACUGAAGCCAUAUGCCAGCCGUGGUCUAGACUAUCGCAAAAGAGUGUUCAAUUACAGACUGACUCGAGCAAGAAGAAUGGUCGAGUGUGCUUUUGGCAUAUUGACUGCAAAAUGGCGAAUAUUCACUCGUCCAAUACAAUUGAAAACAGAUACUGUGGAUGAUGUCAUAAAAGCAUGUGUUGUGUUGCACAAUUAUGUACUGACCAAAGAGCCUUUGCCUACGGAGCCACUGUCAUUAAAUCCACCUGGAGAUCACAUAGAAACUGGCCCAAGAUCAACAGUUGCUGUGAGUCGCAUGCGCAAUCAAUUUGCAGAAUAUUUCAUUUCUUCAGCUGGAUCUGUGCAUUGGCAGGAGGAACAUAUUUGAACAAAUAUUCUCUAUUGUUUGUUACUGUUUGUUUAUUAAAUAUGUACAGUUUAAAGUUGUAAUUAGUUAUGUACAUAAUAGUUUAUUUUAUUGUUUCUUCUUAAUAUAUUGUUGUUUAUUGUUGAGUCAACCAUGAUGUAUCGGUCUACCUACAUUUAUUGCCUUGGAUUCAGCAAA
This is a long non-coding RNA of Bufo gargarizans (Asiatic toad), 1440 nucleotides long. RefSeq lists it as uncharacterized. The transcript is spliced from 3 exons. NCBI's taxonomy places the organism in Eukaryota, Metazoa, Chordata, Amphibia, Anura, Bufonidae. The record is from RefSeq and is a predicted model, not a curated record.